GAUGAACGCUGGCGGCGUGCUUAACACAUGCAAGUCGAGCGGAAAUAUUUAAAGGAAGCCCUUCGGGGUGGAACUUAAAUAUUUUAGCGGCGGACGGGUGCGUAACACGUGGGUAACCUGCCCCUAUCACUGGAAUAACACACUGAAAAGUGUGCUAAUACCAGAUAAUAUAAUUAAGUGGCAUCACUUGAUUAUCAAAGAAUCUCGGAUAGGGAUGGGCCCGCGUCUGAUUAGCUAGUUGGUGAGGUAAUGGCUCACCAAGGCAACGAUCAGUAGCCGACCUGAGAGGGUGAUCGGCCACACUGGAACUGAGACACGGUCCAGACUCCUACGGGAGGCAGCAGUGGGGAAUAUUGCACAAUGGGCGAAAGCCUGAUGCAGCAACGCCGCGUGAGCGAUGAAGG
RNAcentral lists this ribosomal RNA (404 nucleotides) under uncultured bacterium. Its description in RNAcentral is "bacterial SSU rRNA". It matches the Rfam family "Bacterial small subunit ribosomal RNA", at positions 28 to 414 of the family's 1533-position model. The record is from RNAcentral.